UCGGGAAUUUUGGGCAAUGGGCGAAAGCCUGACCCAGCAACGCCGCGUGAAGGGUGAAGUAUUUCGGUAUGUAAACUUCGAAAGAAUAGGAAGAAUAAAUGACGGUACUAUUUAUAAGGUCCGGCUAACUACGUGCCAGCAGCCGCGGUAAUACGUAGGGACCAAGCGUUGUUCGGAUUUACUGGGCGUAAAGGGCGCGUAGGCGGCAAUUCAAGUCAUCUGUGAAAUCUCCGGGCUUAACUCGGAACGGUCAGAUGAUACUGCUUUGCUAGAGUGCAGAAGGGGCAAUCGGAAUUCUUGGUGUAGCGGUGAAAUGCGUAGAUAUUGGGAAGAGCACCAGUGGCGAAGGCGGCUAACUGGUCCGGUACUGACGCUGAGGUGCGAAAGCGUGGGGAGCAAACAGGAUUAGAUACCCCCGUAGUCCCUGAGCGGGCUGGCAAGGCGCAU
Molecule: ribosomal RNA, 447 nt
Filed under: uncultured bacterium
Lineage: Bacteria
Description: bacterial SSU rRNA
Rfam family: Bacterial small subunit ribosomal RNA
Source: RNAcentral